AAAGGUAGAGGAUCCAACACUAUGCCUUUGAUGUACUCGAAACCUCGUAGCUGAUUUGUGGCAUGCAAUGAGGGUUACCAUAUAUAACACUUAGAAAUGCACUGAAAUGGUGAAAUGCAAGAGGUCUACAGAACUAAGAUACUUCCUCUUUUCUUUUCUUCUCCAUUACUACUUAUGAUGAUUUAGCGCGUGACAUGAUAAAGUAAUUAAUCCAUCCUAUAAGUCUGUCAGAGUGAAUAGAUGAUCUUACCUUGUUCUUCUGUGCAACAGCUGUCAGCUCUUUCAGGAUGUACUCCUUAAGGCCUUCAAGUUUGCAGAUUUCACCGAAAGACCCCUUGUAGCCGUUGGACUCUGCCCACUUCAUCGUGUUUUCUUCAUGUGGAUUGACUACUGCAACUAAAUUUGAUCUGAAGCUGUCCCCAUAUACCCAGAUCUAGAAAAAGGAGGGAAAUGACAGUAUUAAAUGUUGACCAGUAUUCUCUCUUAAUUCAGUUUGCUAUAUCCACUGGAUUUUUUUUUUCUUACAUCUUCAACAAGUGGAGGGAAGCCAUAUACUUUCUCGAGGUACUCAACUGCAACAUAUUCCCCCUGUGACAACUUAAAUAUGUUCUUUUUUCGGUCAAUUACCUUCAAGAUUCCAUCCGGGGUCAUCUCUCCAAUGUCGCCUGACAAUAAAUGUGUGUCUGAGCAUUCUACUGCAGAAGCUUAUCUAAAUUUCUGUUUUGAUUAAAUUAAUUGUUCACCUGUAUGAAACCAUCCAUCAACUAUGGCUUCGUUUGUGAGCUCAGGAUUUUUGUAGUACCCAGCAAAGAGAGACUUCCCUCGAAUGCAGAUUUCACCACGUGAAGGGACACCAAGUGGAUCAUAGCCCAUCUCAGGUACUUCUUCCAGUCGUAUUUCAGUGUAGGUGGCAGGUACGCCAACACUUCCAACCAGGGCC
This 940-nucleotide long non-coding RNA is filed under the name Setaria italica (foxtail millet). RNAcentral describes it as "long non-coding RNA (SITA_LNC001821)". The record is from RNAcentral. Lineage: Eukaryota; Viridiplantae; Streptophyta; Magnoliopsida; Poales; Poaceae.